Molecule: long non-coding RNA, 398 nt
Filed under: Betta splendens (Siamese fighting fish)
Lineage: Eukaryota; Metazoa; Chordata; Actinopteri; Anabantiformes; Osphronemidae
Description: lncRNA (ENSBSLG00000020809.1)
Source: RNAcentral
AAUGAUUGGACCAAUGGUUUAGCUCCGCCCCCUCUCAGCCUGACCGAGGAGCCUGGCCGAAGGAACUGCGAUCCCAAAGAGGAGGAAGAGUAACGCAGGCCAAUGAGUGGGUGAUAGGACGGAGGAGAGAGUCUACAUUCUCCAAACGUGUUGCUGUGUAGUUCAUGUCGCAUGAUGAAGAUUGUAAUAAUAUUGUUAGUAGUGAUCUGGGUACCGGCUACAGCGAUACCAGGAAUGUGUCAUUUCACCCCCCAAGUUACAGCACAAGUGUGACAAAAUGUCACUCUGCAGUGCUGUUUUGAUGCUUCAUUGAAUUUAAGAACUCGGACAGUUGACUGGAAAAAAAGAUGACAAGCAGGUGGUCCACGUCUACCGCGAUAGAAAGACUGUCCUGAUCU